GACGAACGCUGGCGGCGUGCUUAACACAUGCAAGUCGAACGGAAAGGCCCUGCUUUUGUGGGGUGCUCGAGUGGCGAACGGGUGAGUAACACGUGAGUAGCCUGCCCUUGACUUUGGGAUAACUUCAGGAAACUGGGGCUAAUACCGGAUAGGAGCUCCUGCUGCAUGGUGGGGGUUGGAAAGUUUCGGCGGUUGGGGAUGGACUCGCGGCUUAUCAGCUUGUUGGUGGGGUAGUGGCUUACCAAGGCUUUGACGGGUAGCCGGCCUGAGAGGGUGACCGGCCACAUUGGGACUGAGAUACGGCCCAGACUCCUACGGGAGGCAGCAGUGGGGAAUAUUGCACAAUGGGCGGAAGCCUGAUGCAGCAACGCCGCGUGCGGGAUGACGGCCUUCGGGUUGUAAACCGCUUUCGCCUGUGACGAAGCGUGAGUGACGGUAAUGUGUAAAGAAGCACCGGCUAACUACGUG
Molecule: ribosomal RNA, 468 nt
Filed under: uncultured bacterium
Lineage: Bacteria
Description: partial 16S ribosomal RNA
Rfam family: Bacterial small subunit ribosomal RNA
Source: RNAcentral